Molecule: transfer RNA, 83 nt
Filed under: Exophiala aquamarina CBS 119918
Lineage: Eukaryota; Fungi; Ascomycota; Eurotiomycetes; Chaetothyriales; Herpotrichiellaceae
Rfam family: tRNA
About the family: Transfer RNA (tRNA) molecules are approximately 80 nucleotides in length.
Source: Rfam by way of RNAcentral
AGAGGAUUGGCUGAGUGGUUUAUAGCGGUAAGCUUGAAACUUAUUUAAUUACGAUUACAUCAGUUCGAAUCUGAUAUCCUCUG